AUUAUUUGUUAGUUAAUUAACUUAAUUUGUUUCUAAAAAGUGUAUUACUGAAGAAUUGUUCUAAUUUUAUAAAAAUAAUAUAUAUAUAUAUAUACAGAGUGGAACAGAUCUAACUGACAACUCAUAUAACUUAUGAUCUACAUAACAUUUUUUUAUUCAAAUUUGUUUUUUAAUUUGUAGAUAGCCAUUUUAUAGAUAAGUUUUAAAGAAAAAUUUUAAUACCAAAAACUCAUACUUUAAUCCAGUAGUUACGUUUAUACAGCAUUUUUAAUUUGUUAAAUUUUGAUUUUUUUUUACAAUUUUUCUAUAGUAUUAAAAAAGAGAUGGAGUGAUGCUAUUGAAUGUGAUAUGAGGACAGCUGAUGUGGGAGAUCGUGUCAAGUGGAAGUUUAGGAUAAAGGUGGGCGAUCCAAGUAGUUAGGAUUAAGGCGAGAUAGAAGAAGAAGAAUAAUUGCGAGUGUUCCGUGGUUAGCCAAGUUAAAAGUGAUAACAGUUAUUAAUUUGUGUGAUUCUUUCAUUGUAAUCAUAUUUUAUUAUAGGAUAUUCCUUGUUAGGAGAUUUGAUAAUAAAUGCACUUAUUCACUAUUAUUCACGUUUAAAUGUAUGAUAUAUGAACUUAUUUACUUAAAAACUCAACAUGUUUUAGACAAUGUUUCUAUAAUUUUUUUUUAAUAAUCUUAAUUAUACUGCUACUUGUGUUUUUAUGGAAAAUUAAUCGUGUACUGUUACUACUAAAUAACAUAAUAAGUGUUUACUUUAUAUAAUAUCGACUAACAUUUGAUACCAUAGGAAAAGGGUAAUAAAAAUAAAAAUUUAACAAACUUAAAAAUGCUGUAUUAACGUAACUACUAAUUAAAAUAAGAGUUUUUGAUAUCAACAUUUUUUUUUUAAAACUUAUCUAUAAAAUGACUAUCUUCAAACCUUAAAACAAAUUUAAUAAAAUCUAAAUUUUUAAAAUAUUUUUUGUAAUUGCAAAAAAUAACAUAGAGCGUAUAUUAAAUAUAGUUCUAUAUUGUAAAAAUUGAUUAAAAAAGAAAAAAUUAUAAAAUGUUAUGUAGAUCAUAAGUUAUAUGAGUUUUCAGUUAGAUCUAUUCCACUCUGUAUACAUUCUAUAUCGAUUAUUUAAAAAUAGUGGACUCCAUGAAUGUAAAUACUGGGACCCGCACAUCAGGUUUUUGCAGCAUUGCAGACACUAUUCAGUUUUAUUGGAUGCCUUUAAUAAAAUGAUAUUCAAUGAUGAAACUUCAUAAAAUAUUUAUAUUAUAUAAAUAAUGUUGAAUUAAAUAAUAUUCUUAAAUAAUUUAUACUGUGAGCAGGCCCGCAUUUAGGGGGGGGCAUUGGGGUCAUUUACCCCGGGCGGCAAAUUUUGAAGGGCGGCAAAAAUCUUAAUAGGUAUACAAUUUUUAAAAAUUAAUUAUUUUUAUUUAAUUUUAAAUUUUUUCAAACAGAACAAUUUAUUUUUAUGAAACAAAAAUAUCUAUUUCUAAAAAAAAAUAUUACUUUAUUAUUUUCUAAUUUAAAACGUGUACAAAGAUAUAAAUGUAAAAGAAAAUAUAUCAAAGCUGUAUAACAACAUAGACUACAGUUAGUAGUUAGAUAAUAGUAUUGAUUAUACAUAGUAAUUUUUAUAAUCAACAGCACUAUAAAUAAAGUAGGCGGCAAUUUAUUUGAUUCAUGUUUUUAUCUAAUUUUAACAAAGUAUUGAUAUUUUCUCCCUUAAACUGGUUUUAUGGAUGUCGUCGGCCGUUGAUAGUCGAUUAUUAUUGGAAUACUAAGAAAGUUAAAACACAAUAAUUUGUCUCAUUUUUCACAAAAUUACUAUCUAAUAAUGUCACACUAAUAAUGUGUUAUGUACAGACAGCUCAUUGUGUUUAGUACUCGACUACAAGUGACCGAGUUAAUAUGUUGAGGUGUUUUUUUAGCUUCGAUGCGAAGCUGAGAAGGUAUUUUAUUUGUAUAUUUUAUUAUUUAAUAACGUAUUAAAAUGAGUGAUGGCAGAAAACGUUUAAGUGGAAGUGCUUAUAAAAAAGUUGCUAAAUUAAAAUUAGAAAAAGAACAAAAAGUCAUUUCUCAAACCGCAAAAUUAACUUCAUUUUUUGGCAAUCAAUCUCCAAUUCGCCAAGUGAAAUAGAGACUACAGCUGAACAGAUUUUAAAUGAGUCUAGUGAUAAAAAUGAACAUCCUCUACAUAGUAUUUUUGAAACCAUGGCAAAUGAAAAUCAAUUAAUUGAAUAUUCGGAAUUAUUAAAUACGCCAACUAAAAAACCCAAUCCAACACUUUUGGGGGGCGGCAAAAUUAAGUACACCGGGCGGCAAAAUUCCUAAUUGCGACCCUGACUGACAAGCUUUUAAAGCUGUCAUUGAAUAUCCAUUUGAAUAACCAAAUCCAACAAUAUAGUGUAUAUUAUGGGCGUAUUUAAAAAUUCAUAAUGAAGGAGGCACGAACACAAAAUUUGAAUGGAUAAGUUAUCAUAAGAACUCAUUAUGACCAUUAUUUUCUGUUGUUAUAAUCAAAGGAAAAGAAAAAACAAUCAACAUGAAAAUUUGUAUCAGUACAUCAUUGCUAAUGGGUGGCAGGAAAAUAUCUCCCGUGAACCAGUAGAAUAUCGCAAUACGCUAUUGAUGUUUAUUAAAACAAAAAUCUUCCAUUGCAUAUUGAAAAAUUUUUUUUAUUGUUUUUAUAAAAUUAUUUUCCACUAGAAUUAAUAGAAAUUAUACCUAAGAUUUGUAAACAUAUUAGUAACAUAUUCAACACAAA
Molecule: long non-coding RNA, 2757 nt
Organism: Daktulosphaira vitifoliae (grape phylloxera)
Lineage: Eukaryota; Metazoa; Arthropoda; Insecta; Hemiptera; Phylloxeridae
Exons: 3
Source: RefSeq, a predicted model, not a curated record